RNAcentral lists this ribosomal RNA (253 nucleotides) under uncultured bacterium. RNAcentral's name for it is "partial 16S ribosomal RNA". It matches the Rfam family "Bacterial small subunit ribosomal RNA", at positions 524 to 776 of the family's 1533-position model. The record is from RNAcentral.
UACGUAGGUCCCGAGCGUUGUCCGGAUUUAUUGGGCGUAAAGCGAGCGUAGACGGCGAUGCAAGUCUGAAGUGAAAGGCGGGGGCCCAACCCCCGGACUGCUUUGGAAACUGUAUGGCUGGAGUGCAGGAGAGGUAAGUGGAAUUCCUAGUGUAGCGGUGAAAUGCGUAGAUAUUAGGAGGAACACCAGUGGCGAAGGCGGCUUACUGGACUGUAACUGACGUUGAGGCUCGAAAGCGUGGGGAGCAAACAGG